AGUGAACGCUGGCGGUAGGCCUAACACAUGCAAGUCGAACGGCAGCACAGUAAGAGCUUGCUCUUACGGGUGGCGAGUGGCGGACGGGUGAGGAAUACAUCGGAAUCUACUUUUUCGUGGGGGAUAACGUAGGGAAACUUACGCUAAUACCGCAUACGACCUACGGGUGAAAGCAGGGGAUCUUCGGACCUUGCGCGAUUGAAUGAGCCGAUGUCGGAUUAGCUAGUUGGCGGGGUAAAGGCCCACCAAGGCGACGAUCCGUAGCUGGUCUGAGAGGAUGAUCAGCCACACUGGAACUGAGACACGGUCCAGACUCCUACGGGAGGCAGCAGUGGGGAAUAUUGGACAAUGGGCGCAAGCCUGAUCCAGCCAUACCGCGUGGGUGAAGAAGGACUUCGGGUUGUAAAGCCCUUUUGUUGGGAAAGAAAAGCAGCAGGUUAAUACCCCGCUGUCCUGACGGUACCCAAAGAAUAAGCACCGGCUAACUUCGUG
Molecule: ribosomal RNA, 492 nt
Filed under: uncultured bacterium
Lineage: Bacteria
Description: partial 16S ribosomal RNA
Rfam family: Bacterial small subunit ribosomal RNA
Source: RNAcentral